This 1774-nucleotide small RNA is filed under the name Gymnopus impudicus. RNAcentral's name for it is "eukaryotic LSU rRNA". The stretch from base 657 to 1774 matches the Rfam family "Eukaryotic large subunit ribosomal RNA", at positions 1 to 1106 of the family's 3401-position model. The record is from RNAcentral. Lineage: Eukaryota; Fungi; Basidiomycota; Agaricomycetes; Agaricales; Omphalotaceae.
AUAGUACUGUUGCUGGCCUUUAUAAUAUGAGGUAUGUGCACGUACUAUUUCUAAUCUAUUCAUCCACCUGUGCAUUUAUUGUAGGAGGUCUUUAAAGGGUUAACUUGUACUUGUACAAAGUUGACUUGGAAAAGGACUUUCUAUGUUCUUAUAAACCUUAUUGAAGUAUGUUUUUGAAUGUAUUUUAUUGGGACUUUAUUGGCCCUUUAAACUUGUACAACUUUUAGCAACGGAUCUCUUGGCUCUCCCAUCGAUGAAGAACGCAGCGAAAUGCGAUAAGUAAUGUGAAUUGCAGAAUUCAGUGAAUCAUCGAAUCUUUGAACGCACCUUGCGCCCUCUGGUAUUCCGGAGGGCAUGCCUGUUUGAGUGUCAUUAAAUUCUCAACUCUAAAAGCUUUCAUUAGCUUAUUUAGAGCUUGGAUGUUGGGAGCUUGCUGGUGUCUUUAGAUAUUCGGCUCUCCUUAAAUUCAUUAGUGGAAGUCUCUUUGUUGGAGUCAUCCUUGGUGUGAUAAUUAUCUACGCUUUGGAUAGUCCGAUGUUUCCAUUGAGGUUGUGUUUAGUAUUGCGACUAGUUGCUUUACUUUUGGAUCUCAGAGGAAAAGGGAAAGUUUUGCUCUCUAACUGUCUGUGCUUACUAUAGACAACUUAUUGACUAUUUGACCUCAAAUCAGGUAGGACUACCCGCUGAACUUAAGCAUAUCAAUAAGCGGAGGAAAAGAAACUAACAAGGAUUCCCCUAGUAACUGCGAGUGAAGAGGGAAAAGCUCAAAUUUAAAAUCUGGCAGUCUUUGAUUGUCCGAGUUGUAAUUUAGAGAAGUGUUACCCGCGUUGGACCGUGUACAAGUUUCCUGGAAUGGAACGUCAUAGAGGGUGAGAAUCCCGUCUUUGACACGGAUCCCAAUGCAUUGUGGUGCGCUCUCGAAGAGUCGAGUUGUUUGGGAAUGCAGCUCUAAAUGGGUGGUAAAUUCCAUCUAAAGCUAAAUAUUGGGGAGAGACCGAUAGCGAACAAGUACCGUGAGGGAAAGAUGAAAAGAACUUUGGAAAGAGAGUUAAACAGUACGUGAAAUUGCUAAAAGGGAAACGCUUGAAGUCAGUCGCGUUGGCCAGGGAUCAGCCUUCCUUUUGGUUGGUGUACUUCCUGGUUGAUGGGUCAGCAUCAGUUUUGAUCGGUGGAUAAAGGUGAGAGGAAUGUGGCAUCUUCGGGUGUGUUAUAGCCUCUUAUUGUAUACAUCGGUUGGGACUGAGGAACUCAGCACGCCGCAAGGCCGGGUUUUUAACCACGUUCGUGCUUAGGAUGCUGGCAUAAUGGCUUUAAUCGACCCGUCUUGAAACACGGACCAAGGAGUCUAACAUGCCUGCGAGUGUUUGGGUGGAAAACCCGAGCGCGUAAUGAAAGUGAAAGUUGGGAUCUCUGUCGUGGAGAGCACUGACGCCCUGCCCAGACCUUUUGUGACGGUGCAGCGGUUGAGCAUGUAUGUUGGGACCCGAAAGAUGGUGAACUAUGCCUGAAUAGGGUGAAGCCAGAGGAAACUCUGGUGGAAGCUCGUAGCGAUUCUGACGUGCAAAUCGAUCGUCGAAUUUGGGUAUAGGGGCGAAAGACUAAUCGAACCAUCUAGUAGCUGGUUCCUGCCGAAGUUUCCCUCAGGAUAGCAGAAACUCAUUGUCAGAUUUAUGUGGUAAAGCGAAUGAUUAGAGGCCUUGGGGUUGUAACAACCUUAACCUAUUCUCAAACUUUAAAUAUGUAAGAACGAGCCGUCUCUUAAUUGGACCGCUCG